CGCGGUGUAGCUUAAAGGAUAGAGCGCCUGCCCAUCUUCGAAAUUCACGCCAGCACGUGAAGAGUAGGGGCGGGGGGAUGCGGGUUCAAGUCCCGUCACCGCGCCCA
This 107-nucleotide transfer RNA is filed under the name Hyphomicrobiales bacterium. Its description in RNAcentral is "tRNA-OTHER". It matches the Rfam family "tRNA". From Rfam's summary of the family: Transfer RNA (tRNA) molecules are approximately 80 nucleotides in length. Their secondary structure includes four short double-helical elements and three loops (D, anti-codon, and T loops). Lineage: Bacteria; Pseudomonadati; Pseudomonadota; Alphaproteobacteria; Hyphomicrobiales. The record is from RNAcentral.